GACGUAGGGGGCCAGCGUUGCUCGGAAUUACUGGGCGUAAAGGGUGCGUAGGCGGGUUGAUAAGUCAGUGGUGAAACCUCCGAGCUUAACUCGGAAACUGCCAUUGAUACUAUCAGUCUUGAAUUCAGUUGAGGUGGGCGGAAUGUGUCGUGUAGCGGUGAAAUGCUUAGAUAUGACACAGAACACCAGUUGCGAAGGCAGCUCGCUAAACUGACAUUGACGCUGAGGCACGAAAGCGUGGGGAGCAAACAGG
RNAcentral lists this ribosomal RNA (253 nucleotides) under uncultured bacterium. RNAcentral's name for it is "partial 16S ribosomal RNA". It matches the Rfam family "Bacterial small subunit ribosomal RNA", at positions 524 to 776 of the family's 1533-position model. The record is from RNAcentral.